UAGGGAAUCUUCGGCAAUGGACGAAAGUCUGACCGAGCAACGCCGCGUGAGUGAAGAAGGUUUUCGGAUCGUAAAACUCUGUUGUUAGAGAAGAACAAGGACGUUAGUAACUGAACGUCCCCUGACGGUAUCUAACCAGAAAGCCACGGCUAACUACGUGCCAGCAGCCGCGGUAAUACGUAGGUGGCAAGCGUUGUCCGGAUUUAUUGGGCGUAAAGCGAGCGCAGGCGGUUUCUUAAGUCUGAUGUGAAAGCCCCCGGCUCAACCGGGGAGGGUCAUUGGAAACUGGGAGACUGGAGUGCAGAAGAGGAGAGUGGAAUUCCAUGUGUAGCGGUGAAAUGCGUAGAUAUAUGGAGGAACACCAGUGGCGAAGGCGGCUCUCUGGUCUGUAACUGACGCUGAGGCUAGGAAGCGUGGGGAGCAAACAGG
This 429-nucleotide ribosomal RNA is filed under the name Gemmatimonadota bacterium. RNAcentral's name for it is "Gemmatimonadetes bacterium partial 16S ribosomal RNA". It matches the Rfam family "Bacterial small subunit ribosomal RNA", at positions 355 to 776 of the family's 1533-position model. The record is from RNAcentral. Lineage: Bacteria; Pseudomonadati; Gemmatimonadota.